AGGAUAGUAGUCAACCAUGAUAUCUGAUUUGCAUUUAGAAGGUAUUACAUUAAGUAAUCUAUCUUA
This 66-nucleotide transfer RNA is filed under the name Lysiosquillina maculata. RNAcentral's name for it is "tRNA-Ala". Lineage: Eukaryota; Metazoa; Arthropoda; Malacostraca; Stomatopoda; Lysiosquillidae. The record is from RNAcentral.